UAUAGGAAAUUUUAAUUCCUAUAGGAAUUCCUAUAGGAAUUUUCAAUGCCUAUAGGAAUUCCUAUAGGAAAUUUUAAUUCCUAUAUGAA
This 89-nucleotide microRNA precursor is filed under the name Paramuricea clavata. The record is from RNAcentral. Lineage: Eukaryota; Metazoa; Cnidaria; Anthozoa; Malacalcyonacea; Plexauridae.